UGAGAUAAAAUGAUCUUGCCUAACUUCU
Molecule: non-coding RNA, 28 nt
Filed under: Rattus norvegicus (Norway rat)
Lineage: Eukaryota; Metazoa; Chordata; Mammalia; Rodentia; Muridae
Source: RNAcentral